This 497-nucleotide ribosomal RNA is filed under the name uncultured bacterium. Its description in RNAcentral is "partial 16S ribosomal RNA". It matches the Rfam family "Bacterial small subunit ribosomal RNA", at positions 28 to 507 of the family's 1533-position model. The record is from RNAcentral.
GAUGAACGCUGGCGGCGUGCCUAAUACAUGCAAGUCGAGCGAACGGACGAGAAGCUUGCUUCUCUGAUGUUAGCGGCGGACGGGUGAGUAACACGUGGAUAACCUACCUAUAAGACUGGGAUAACUUCGGGAAACCGGAGCUAAUACCGGAUAAUAUUUUGAACCGCAUGGUUCAAGAGUGAAAGACGGUCUUGCCGUCACUUAUAGAUGGAUCCGCGCUGCAUUAGCUAGUUGGUAAGGUAACGGCUUACCAAGGCAACGAUGCAUAGCCGACCUGAGAGGGUGAUCGGCCACACUGGAACUGAGACACGGUCCAGACUCCUACGGGAGGCAGCAGUAGGGAAUCUUCCGCAAUGGGCGAAAGCCUGACGGAGCAACGCCGCGUGAGUGAUGAAGGUCUUCGGAUCGUAAAACUCUGUUAUUAGGGAAGAACAUAUGUGUAAGUAACUGUGCACAUCUUGACGGUACCUAAUCAGAAAGCCACGGCUAACUACGUG